RNAcentral lists this non-coding RNA (211 nucleotides) under Bacillus coahuilensis. Its description in RNAcentral is "T-box sequence". It matches the Rfam family "T-box leader". From Rfam's summary of the family: Uncharged tRNA acts as the effector for transcription antitermination of genes in the T-box leader family. The record is from RNAcentral. Lineage: Bacteria; Bacillati; Bacillota; Bacilli; Caryophanales; Bacillaceae.
CUAAAAAUGAUGACAGGAACUAGUAGCUAUUCUUCUUUUUCUAGAGAGUCGAUGGUUGGUGCGAAUCGAUAAAAGGAGCUAGUGAAUCCAUCCUUGAGUGAGGCACUGAACUAUAUAGUAGGUGCUUUCGGUUCACAGCCGUUAUGAAAUGUAAGUGGAAAGGGUAACCUUUCAACUAGGGUGGCAACGCGGGUUAACUCUCGUCCCUUCU